Molecule: ribosomal RNA, 104 nt
Filed under: Pteropus alecto (black flying fox)
Lineage: Eukaryota; Metazoa; Chordata; Mammalia; Chiroptera; Pteropodidae
Source: RNAcentral
GUCUAUGGCCAUGCUACCCUGAACAUGCCUGAUCUUGUCUGAUCUCAGAAGCUAAGCAGGGUCGGGUCUGGGAGACCAUCUUGGAAUACCAGGUGCUACAGGCA